Molecule: long non-coding RNA, 251 nt
Filed under: Carica papaya (papaya)
Lineage: Eukaryota; Viridiplantae; Streptophyta; Magnoliopsida; Brassicales; Caricaceae
Description: long non-coding RNA (CPAP_LNC006556)
Source: RNAcentral
GGAGCCUUAUUUCCCGCCCCCUGGUCAAGCCCAAGAAGCGUCAAAUCAACAACAAUACCAAUUGCCUCCUACUCAGCAGUCACUGCCUUCCGCCGUUGCACCAUCUCAUCCGACUCCUGCUGCACCACCGCAUCCGGGUCCUGCUGCACCACCGCAUCCGGGUCCUGCUGCACCGCCAAAUCUUGGUCCUGCUGCACCACCUCAUCAGCCAUAUAAUCUUGGUCCUCAACCACAAUACUCUCAGCCGCCCC